CAGCAAAGAUUACAUCACGAUGAGAUGAUGGUGGUGCACUAUGUGGUGUGGUGUAUGUAUGGAUGGAUGGUACUUACUUACAAAAUCCAUGAUGCGAGCAUAAUCAUUCAUCAAAACCAGUACCAGAGAGUUAUGGAUGUGGAUGUGGAGUGGUAACACUUGAACUUUUCAUACAUCCGUACUGCUGGUGAAAGUAGAUAGAAUUUCAACUUGGGGAAAGGAGACAUGAAACUAAAACCACAAAAACCCACCACCACGUUAGUUAAACAAGCAAAGACCAGCUUAAAAUGGAGCCAUUUCCAAACUCAAACGAGCCUCAGCUUCCAAAUGAGCUUGGCUGCGAGAAAGUAAAAUCAAAGGAGUUAUUGCAUAUCUUUUAUAACGUUUUGAUGAAGAGAGAACAGAACCGGGCUGUGUGUGAGAGAGAGAAAAAGCAGCAUAUAAAGUGAAGUCAGCCGAAAGAGAUGAAUUUCUAAAUUGGAUAGAAAAAGGUGGUGGAAAGAGAGAGAGAAAUAAAUCAUAAAUUUCAAAUAUUACGUCCAUCAACCCAAUUUAUUCGGUGGUGCGGUUACACUCUGGUGGUGUGGUUGGUGAAUUGCGUAUAACUGAAAUUUCCCAAGAAAUGCGAAACAUUGUCGUCAUCAACGUAGAUAUUUUUUUCCCAACAUAUUUUUCACAUAUUACAAUUUAUUCAUUGAAUUUGACAAGAAUCAGAGUCAUUUCUCUUUUCCUCGGUGGUGGUAUUAAGCAUCCAAGUAAAAAAUUGUUCCUUGUCCUUUUUCCGGACAGGCGAGGAAAAGGAAAUUCCGUGCAGGCUAACCAGUCAAGGUUUCAUAUCCGUCUCUAUUUUUUAGAGGAGAAGAAGAAAAAGUCUUAGUCAGCCCCAACUUAUCGAGUCAGAUUUUGCGAGACAACUUUCACCAGAAAAUAUAUCUCGCCAACGACUUUGCAGGAGCAGGAGGAGGAUGCAUGCAGGGGAAAUAUUGUGUGUGUAUUUGUCCAUGUCGCAUGCAUGUAAGUGUCUUUUAGACUUCUCCCAGUUUUAGUUAAGGUCUCUCUCCUCAAGGACGGGAUACAUGGAGAAAGUAAGCAAAAAGGAGGAUGAUGUUUUUGUCAUGGGAUGUUACAUCCAUGUUGGUGACACACUGCUUUCCCUCAGCCUGUCGGCCUGAUAGUUGGGGAUGAUGUUUCUCCUCUAUCAUCAUGGCAUCUUCUGCCACUGCCACUGCACACAAGCUCAUCGCUCCAUGAUGUGGCACAGAUCUCUUCAAGUUUUUCCAGAGAAUGAGACACAGAUUGGAAUUGAAUUGGAUGGAGGGAAGGUUGCUCUGUCGAAUUAAAUGACGAUGAGAUUGACAUCACUUUGGACGACGGAGAGAAAGCCAUUGUGCCAACGAAGCUCAAGUGGAAAGCAGGGGAAAAGAUAAUGAAUCUCUUCUUCUUCCAUCUCUGCACAGUUAAGGAACUGAGAAAUCAUCUCUCUCUUUCGGAAUGAGUGAGUGAAAGCAAAUUUCUCUUGGAUCCAAUUCUUCAAAUGACGACUGACUCAAAUGGUUGAAGACGGUAAAUAAGUAAAUAAAUAAAGAUAUCCAUCUACAUUUCUGCUCACAUCACAAGAACAAGAUUGAGACGGAGGAGAGAUGAUGAUGUUGUCUGCCUCUAUUUCUGUCUGUCUGUAAUGAUGCUCAAAUAUGGAAGAAGAAGAAAGGAAGUUUAUUCAAGGGGAAUGAAAGACAGAGUAGAAAGAGAAAGUAUACAAGAAAUUUUGUAAAAUUGACAGAAUGCCGUCAUCAUCCGAGGAGGAAAGCUGAUGAGUUAAAUUGCUUGCUACACGACAGAAGACGGACUUUUACUUGAAUAACAAACAACCUUGAAGGAACAAGAAGAAGAAGCAGAUUCCACGAUACAGACAAAAGUAGAAAGUAAGGAAAGGUAGGAAAAAGUUGUUGGAGGUGAAAGGAGAUCAGUCAAUCUGCUUUAAACCAAUCUUCUUAAAUCUUUUCGGAGGAGAAAAGUCAGGUGAAGAGUGUUGAUGUUGAUAUGUUACUUGCUCCGUGUUGAUUCUUGGACGAGUUGUUGGUGAACUACGGAAAAGAGAAAGUAUUUACAAAGAAAAAAGAAGACGUGUUCAUCGUGACGUGACAGUUAAUGAAAUUAUUUAAUUAUUUGUAGCAGGAAACGGCUAAUUUUUAUCUCGUUUUCUCUCACUGUGGUCUCAAGUGGUCGUUCAGUUGGACUUGGACCACGAAGUAAAGAGGAUGGGAUUUGGAUACAUAAUUUUCAAAUGGCUUAAGAUAGCUUUUUAUUUUGACUUUGAAUGCGUAGGAGGUUAAGGAUUAACCUUUACAACCUUUGUCACAAUGAAAUUGGUCAAUUUGAGACAUGAUUUUCUAAGAUGACGUUCCUUGUCAUUAUUCUUGAUAAGAUCAAUUGGACAGAAUAAGAUGAUAAACUACUUGUCUUGGCGUCUACUCAAAGAGAAGCUCGGUGUGGAGGAGGAGUGGAUUGAUUAAGCAAGAACUUUUACACUCGACAGAUUAUUACACACAGGUUUUGGGCAAACAAGCGUUUGAGCUGUUUUCAUUAAACAUGAAAGAGAAAGUGAGCCAAGUGAAGGUCAAAUUUCCCCAAAAUGUAAAUGCAUUGAUCAAAGUAAUAAAUCGAUGAGGGUACAGCCGACCGUCGGCGGUGACGCAAAUGUAUGGGAGACAAAUUUGCGUGAUGUAAUUUUGGCGCACGUAAUGCGUUUAUUUAUUUUAAAAUGCUAUACAUAAUCUGUGACAGUAAUUACUAGUGAAGAAGAUGAAAAUACUUAAUGUUACUCGUAUAUGUAUAUUUAAGUACGUGAUGUAUUGAGAAUCAUGAGGAGGUUUGAAAUCAAUUAUUUCAACAAAUAUUGAAAAGAUACAGUGAAGAAGUUCGUAAACAAAAAUAA
Folsomia candida is the source of this 2935-nucleotide long non-coding RNA. RefSeq lists it as uncharacterized. The transcript has 2 exons. NCBI's taxonomy places the organism in Eukaryota, Metazoa, Arthropoda, Collembola, Entomobryomorpha, Isotomidae. The record is from RefSeq and is a predicted model, not a curated record.